Molecule: long non-coding RNA, 1235 nt
Organism: Pyrus x bretschneideri (Chinese white pear)
Lineage: Eukaryota; Viridiplantae; Streptophyta; Magnoliopsida; Rosales; Rosaceae
Exons: 2
Source: RefSeq, a predicted model, not a curated record
AUAAAAUUGAUGAAAUGGACCAUUCUAUAAAUGUUAAAUUUUUAGCCCAGGCCUAAUCCCAACACCAGCCCAACCCUCCACCCCAACCCAGUCCCCAUUUAUCCCAAUCAGGCAUUUCUCUCUCACCAUAUCCACUGUUUGUUUGCCCUGUAUUCUUAUGCAGAAGAACAACAAUGGCAGUUUAAACCAGCAACACUUGAAUCCUACAAUCUCUUGCUGUCCGAAACCACCCUUUGAAUUUCAGGGAGAAGCCACAACCAGUGAAGGGUUUUGAAUUCCACAUCAAGCAAAGAAGAAUAGGAGCAAUAAGUUGGGUGGCACUGCUGAGCACUUUUCACAGAAGCUACUUCUAGGUUUGAGUUGCAACUGAUAGCGCCUGAUCAGACGGUUGCAGAAGCGGAGGAAGAAAUCAGAGGGCGCGCACAAGCUUUGUUGGAAGUGAAGGAUCUGAUGGAGUUGGAGUCAUGGAGAGAAUUACAGACAGCUCUAAGGAAGAGCUCGUCGUUGUUGAAGAGAUUUUUACACCAUAAAUCAAUGGGAGACGAGAUCCUUAAAGCUCCAUAGCCGAACCAAGGUCAAAUGUGUAGGAAGCCACCAUGGGAUCGCAGAGGGAAGCUGAUCAGUUCACCAAGCUAAGAAGUAUAUUCUUGGGUCUUUCUAUACAGCCAUGAAUUUGAUGAUCUUGAAUUUCCUGCAUUUGUUAAUGAUUUUCGGGUUGACGUACUUGCACAAAUGAGCCACAAAUGGAGGAAACUGGAAACCCCUCCCCUCCAUCCAUGGAAGCAUCACGCUCUCCUCUAAAAGAUCGCCAUGGUAGCAGGAGAAGUAGAAGCUCAAAGCUGAUUGUUGCUACUCAAAGCAUUUUUCUGAAUUUUUUGGUCUAUCACUGUCCAUUCGAUUGAAACCCCAAAAGCCAAAGAGAGAGAAAAGUAGAGAGAGAAGGAGAGAAGAAGAUUUUGCGUUGAAAGUUGAAACUCACAGUGCCGAACUGAGGAGAGAGAGGGGAAAGGGAAGGAGUGUUAGUGGGAAACCCCGAUCUGGGCCGUCCAGGGAUUCGUACCUUUGAAUCUUAACCGUUGAGUAUGGGACUGAUGUGACAGCAUCCAUGUACCACCAUACAUCAGUGGUUCUUGUCAGAGUACGGACUAUGUUUUAUUUUUGUUUUAAAGUGUUCACGUAUUAUUUUUCAAGAGAAAUUCCCAUGAAUCUAUUAUUCAAAUAUUCAUUUCAUGCUA